Molecule: long non-coding RNA, 1005 nt
Filed under: Crocodylus porosus (Australian saltwater crocodile)
Lineage: Eukaryota; Metazoa; Chordata; Crocodylia; Crocodylidae
Description: lncRNA (ENSCPRG00005010023.1)
Source: RNAcentral
CAGAUGAGAUGUUUCAGCCAACAGAAACCGCAUCAGAGCAUGAUUCCAAAUGCUCACACUUGAAUAUUUUAUACUUACUGUAAAUGUCAAUGGAAUUCCUGGUUACACUGUAUGUCAGAAACACACCUGAUGGCAGAUCCAACAGGAGAAAGGGAGGAAAUCUAAAGACAUCUAAAGUAGGAACAACAGGCAUGGGAAGGAUGAUGGAGAGGCACAAAGAAUUUUACUGGAAGCACUAAAGCAAGACUUCAUAAGCUUCCUCUUUUUUCUUCUAAGAUGGAGCAGAAGUUAAGAUCUCCACUAGACUUGAGGCUGUAUUCCAAGCAAUUGCCUAGCAGGAUAUGCAUCCAGAGUGCUACUCAAAACAUAACUGAAUUAUCCUAGAGUAAGAAAGAAAUUAUGGGAGUUGUUCUUGGUGGUUUCAUAAAUAUACAAGAUAUACAAAGAUAUUUGUAACCCUAUAUUUAGGAAGCCAGCAUACAAAGUAACUAGUGAGCCAUUGGUGGGCUGCAAGGGCAGACAUAGGGGAGGUUUCAGAGGUAGUUUAACCCCUUCCAAACAUUUCCACAGCACUUGGUAUUGUCAUGCUGAGACACUGCAGGGCUCUAUACAUGCCGUUUCCCAAACAAGGAGCAGUACAGUCAGAUUAGAGCAGAUUUGCAAUUGGACAAUAAUUAGAUUUAAUGAGAGGCAUGGCUGAUUAGUCUGAGCACACCACUGUACUAGCACAGCUAUAUUGCUUUCAGCUUGGGAGGGAAUUUGUGCAGAGCUAACUUGCAGCAUUAUGGAUGGCACUGCCCUGUGCCAACUUAGCAGCUCCCUAAAUGCAUUUUAGUCUGCUUCUGGUUACAGGUUCUCUACUAAUGGUUCCAGAGGUUGUGUCAAUUGCACUUGUUAAGCUGGACUCAGGAAGCAAAAUGAUUGAGAACUACUAACCUAGAUUUGAGAGAGAGAAAGAAAGAGAGAGAAAAUAAAAUUGCAAAAGUUCUUAUAACUGUGAAAGAU